AGUGAACGCUGGCGGUAGGCCUAACACAUGCAAGUCGAACGGCAGCACAGUAAGCGCUUGCUCUUACGGGUGGCGAGUGGCGGACGGGUGAGGAAUACAUCGGAAUCUACCUUUUCGUGGGGGAUAACGUAGGGAAACUUACGCUAUUACCGCAUACGACCUACGGGUGAAAGCAGGGGAUCUUCGGACCUUGCGCGAUUGAAUGAGCCGAUGUCGGAUUAGCUAGUUGGCGGGGUAAAGGCCCACCAAGGCGACGAUCCGUAGCUGGUCUGAGAGGAUGAUCAGCCACACUGGAACUGAGACACGGUCCAGACUCCUACGGGAGGCAGCAGUGGGGAAUAUUGGACAAUGGGCGCAAGCCUGAUCCAGCCAUACCGCGUGGGUGAAGAAGGCCUUCGGGUUGUAAAGCCCUUUUGUUGGGAAAGAAAAGCAGCAGGUUAAUACCCCGCUGUUCUGACGGUACCCAAAGAAUAAGCACCGGCUAACUUCGUG
Molecule: ribosomal RNA, 492 nt
Filed under: uncultured bacterium
Lineage: Bacteria
Description: partial 16S ribosomal RNA
Rfam family: Bacterial small subunit ribosomal RNA
Source: RNAcentral